CCCGCAUCCGCCUGCCUUUGCACUUGGGGGUGGGAGAGCCACCUUGUGACGCCCCUUCUGCCUCUCACCAGCUUCCCCCUUUCUCCCCGUCCUGUACGGUUCCCCCUGGAGCCAGAAGGAAGCCCGGUGCCAGCCAGCCUUCCUGAAAGACCAAGCCCGCGCCAUCCGGCUUCCUCCAGUGGACGCCUGCAGGACCCAGGAACACUACAUCAACACUGUUGGCGGGGACCUGGACACAGAAGACUCCUGUUUCAAGAAAAUACAAUCAUCUCUCAAAGGCUGUAAUUUAUAUGCAUUUUAAAACUCUAGGCAUUGAAAACCACCCAAGUGUCCCAAAUAGAAGGGUAAUAUAUAAUCAAUCACUCAGUGUAAUAUUAUACAUCCUUUAAAAAUGUUAUUGGGAAAUGUUUUAUGAUCUGUAAGUCCAAGGAAUCCUCUCCCACCAUUUCUUUCCCCCCGCUGUUCCCCCAUACCCACACUUCUUUGUUCCAAUUGGCAUGUAAAUUUGGUUUUCCCGCCAAAUGAGUCAGUCAUGAUGGGAACCUCAACUGAUUUGAACAGAUGUGUGUCAAUGUUACUUGGAAAACUAGAUGUCAAUAACCAGGGUCACAGAAAAAGGCAGUGGUCACAACUCUGUAAAAAUGUAUGCAUGCACACAGACAAGAACUAAAGUGGAACCCCACACAGGAAAACAGUGGGCUGUACUCCAGUGCUGGGACAUUGAAUGACUGUAUGCUGCUUUUGAUUUCCGUUAAUAUGGGCAACUGUCCAAUUAAAAAAAAAACUCCUAAG
RNAcentral lists this long non-coding RNA (792 nucleotides) under Homo sapiens (human). RNAcentral's name for it is "HSALNT0408783". The record is from RNAcentral. Lineage: Eukaryota; Metazoa; Chordata; Mammalia; Primates; Hominidae.